Molecule: ribosomal RNA, 494 nt
Filed under: Chiloplacus sp.
Lineage: Eukaryota; Metazoa; Nematoda; Chromadorea; Rhabditida; Cephalobidae
Description: partial small subunit ribosomal RNA
Source: RNAcentral
AAGGCUACAACGGGAAAACCAAAAAAAGACUAAGAUCGAAGUGCGGCCCGAGGGUAAACCCCGCCCUAUGGCACAGAUCCAACUACGAGCUUUUUAAACGCAGCGAUAGUUCUAUGCUCUUUGAGAUCUGGAAUUACCGCGCCUGCUGACCCAAACUUGCCCUCUCAUGGAUGCGCGUUAAAGGGUUUAUUUGCCCCUUUCCGAUAACCGGCCUCAUAAAAGAACGGUCUCUUAUUUUUCAUCCCUACCUCCUCGUGCUGAAAGUGAGAAUUUUCCCCCUGCUGCCUCCCUUAAAUGUGUUCGCAAUUUCUCAGGAAACUCUCCGGACCAAACCCGUAUGCUCCGUUACGCGUGUCACCUUGGUAGAAAUCCCCUACCCUCCAAGUUGAUCUUAAAUACUUGAAGACGUGCCCCGUGCAAGACCGUGCCAUCCCUCUAUUUCCUAUGAGUCAACCAUAAACUCCGAAUCCCCCUGGGUUUUGGCUAUAAUUGCA